Molecule: long non-coding RNA, 222 nt
Filed under: Pan troglodytes (chimpanzee)
Lineage: Eukaryota; Metazoa; Chordata; Mammalia; Primates; Hominidae
Description: long non-coding RNA NONPTRT000962
Source: RNAcentral
GCCCAUGCUUGGCAAGGCCUUGAGGUAGGCCAGGUUGGCUCUGUCUUUGGUCAGGACAGUGUUUUGACUGGGGCUGAUUCAACAACACUUUUGGGUUUUGGGGUAGAAGUAGUUUGUAGGCUGGGCGCGGUGGCUCACGCCUAUAAUCCCAGCACUUUGGAACAUAUUUAUCAGGUGCCUGCUAUCCUAGGCAUUAGAAAUGCAGUGGUAAGACCAGGCGCA